AUGAUCAAACUCUUUCAUAAUUCUUUCGUUGAUUAAUAUUUCUGUUCUCUCAUUGUUCUGGAGUUAACUUGAUUGAGUUGUCAUGCACUGCUUGAAAUUUUGGAUACCAUAGGAAGAUGAUGGAUGAAUUUGAGAAGGUGAAGCAACAAUUGGUAGAGUAUAAGAUCCUGUCACGGCCCAUAUCCCAAAAGCUUGGUCUCUAGUGAUUUGAAACCCUAACUCAAGUCUUGAGAUAAUUGACCUUUUUUUUUUCAUGAUAGUUGGACCUAGAUUUUUGGCUUCUACAAGAUUGUUGUCAUUGAGAACCUUCAUCAAUUUGGAGUGGGACAACUUUCCAUUCAGUUGCAGGAAGUGUACUAUAGUUAUAAGGAAAAAAAAUAUGUAAUUGAGGAACUAUUUGUGUAUCAGACAGACCAUGUAAUUAUUUAGUCCUCAUGGAAUGAAAUUGAGUUCAAUUUACUUGAGAAA
Prunus mume (Japanese apricot) is the source of this 468-nucleotide non-coding RNA. NCBI's taxonomy places the organism in Eukaryota, Viridiplantae, Streptophyta, Magnoliopsida, Rosales, Rosaceae. The record is from RefSeq and is a predicted model, not a curated record.